This is a long non-coding RNA of Parambassis ranga (Indian glassy fish), 5101 nucleotides long. The record is from Ensembl. NCBI's taxonomy places the organism in Eukaryota, Metazoa, Chordata, Actinopteri, Ambassidae.
GCUGUUAUCCUGUAUGCCCAGAAGAUAAGCCAAUAUUUGAUGAAACAAACCAGAUAUGUGUGGAAAUAUGUGAUGUUUGCUUUUACAAUGGGACCUACUACAAUAACUCUGACGUCAUCUACAAUGUCACUGACAACAUGGGAAUGUGCUAUUACGCAAUUUGCAUUAAUGCAACAGUGAUACAUUCAAAUAUCACCUGCGGGACCACAACAACUGAACUUUCCUACUACUACAACUACACAGACAACUACAACUCACCCACCAACAACAACGACCGAACCACCCACUACAACAACCUGAACCCUCCUACUACUACAACCACACCCCCAACAACAACGACCGAACCUCCCACUACAACAACUGAACCUCCUACUACUACAACUACACAGCCAACUACAACCACACCACCAACAACAACGACCGAACCUCCCACUACAACAACUGAACCUCCCCACUACUACAACCACACCCCCAACAACAACGACUCCGAACCUCCCACUACAACAACCAAACCUCCUACUACUACAACUACACAGCCAACGACAACCACACCAGCUACAACCACAACCAAGCCUCCAACGACAACAACUCCUGUAACUACUACAUGUAUUCCAACAACAAUAUGUGAGUGGUCAGACUGGUAUGAUGUGCAUGAUCCAAAGACAGACAAAGUGACUGGGAAACCUAUGAAACUCACAAACAGUGGUCUCGAAAUAUGUGAAAAUAUUGAAGACAUUGAAUGUAGGGCAAACUGAUUAUCCAGAACACAGCUUGGAUGACUUGUAAGUCAAAACUGCCAAGUUGUUUCCUUGAUAAGGGAUAUGGACUAAUAUGUAGAAAAGAGGAUCAAAUACGGCCUCCACGAAAGUGCUUUAACUACAAGAUCAGAGUGAACUGCUGUGAUGUGGUGCCAUGUGGGACCACAACGACAACCACACCAACAACAACCAAGCCUCCCACUACAAACAACUACACAGCCAACUACAACCACACCAACAACAAAGCCUCCCACUACAACGACACAGACAACUACAACCACACCAACAACAACAAUCCCCCAACUACAACUACAACCACGCCACCAACAACAACCAAGCCUCCACUACAACAACUACCCAGCCAACUACACCACACCCACAACCACAAGCCUCCACUACAACUACACCAAGCCUCCCACACAGCCAACCUACAACCACACCAACCACCAAGCCUCCCCAGCUACUACUACAACCACCACCACCAACGACAACGACCGAACCUCCCACUACAACUACCACAACAACCAAGCCCCCCACUACAACUACCCAGCCAACUACAACCACACCAACAACCACCAACCUCCCACUACAACUACAACCAAGCCUCCCACACAGCCAACUACAACCACACCACCAACAACAACAACCGAACCUCCCACUACAACUACCACAACAACCAAGCCCCCCACUACAACAACUUCACAGCCAACUACAACCACACCAACAACCACCAAGCCUCCUACUACAACUACAACCACGCCACCAACAACAACCAAGCCUCCUACUACAACUACACAGACUACAACCACACCAACAACAACAAGCCUCCCACUACAACAACAACCAAGCCCCCACUACAGACAACUACACAGCCAACUACAACCACACCAACAACCACCAAGCCUCCCACUACUACUACAACCACACACCAACAAAGACCGAACCUCCCACUACAACUACCACAACAACAACCACCAAGCCUCCCACUACAACUACAACCACGCCACCAACAACAACCAAGCCUCCCACUACAACUACACAGACAACUACAACCACACCAACAACCACCAAGCCUCCCACUACAACUACCACAACAACCAAGCCCCCCACUACAACAACUACACAGCCAACUACAACCACACCAACAACCACCAAGCCUCCCACUACUACUACAAUCACACCACCAACAACGACCGAACCUCCCACUACAACAACUGAACCUCCUACUACUACAACUACACAGCCAACGACAACCACACCACCAACCAAGCCUCCCACUACAACUACACAGACAACUAGUCCAAACUGGCUCCACACGUACAACACUGUAUUCAACUAGCCCUCAAGUGGGAAUACCUACUACUACUCCAAUUAUCACUACAGAAUGCAGCUGUAUUUUUAAUGGCACAAGUUACAGGCCAGGUAUGAAACCAGUUAAUAACCACAGUUAUGUUUAUGACAGAUGAAGAUGAUAGAAGUAAUGUUUUACCAAUUUUAAACAGCCUUACUGUGAUUAAACUUGUGUUCCGCUUGUAUAGGGAGAGGAAAUCUUUCAUAUGAACCCAUUGGAGCAGGCAUAUGUCUCACAAUGACAUGUUCUGAUAUUUGUGAAUUUCAAAACAAAACUGAAUUAUGCCCAACAACCAUGCCUCCAACUACAUCCAUGCCUUCAACUACAACCAGAGUACCUGACUGCCCUGACUGGGAAGUCUCAGUAAGACUGUUACUGUAGUCAGCAAAUUCAAUUGUAAAAUUUAAAACAAUUCAAUUGCAUUAUACUAUACACAUAGUACAUGUUAACUUGUUCAGCAAUAAGCUUACUUGCAUUUGCCUGCUAAUUUAAUGUCUACUUUUUCAUUUUUCUCUCAGCAAAAUGAGACCUUCAUGCUGUGCAACUGCACCAUGGCCAAAUGCAUUGAGAACAAUACAAUUGUGAUUGUUCCAUAUGAAUGUCCACCCCUUCAAAAUAUAACUUGCACCAAUGGAAAGAAACCAGUGCUUGUAUAUGACGACUACUACUGCUGCCAAUAUUACAUCUGUGACUGUGAGUUCUUCUGUAGAUUAAUUGCAUUUUAUUAACUUCUAUGUAUUUGUUUACAUACAUUUCAGAUUGUGAACAUGUUGUGUCUGUUUCUCAGGUGUGUGGUGAAGGAUGGGGAGAUCCCCAUUACAUACAUUUGAUGGGCUCUACUACAGUUAUCAAGGAAACUGCACCUAUGUCUUGAUGGAGGAAAGAAUAGCAAGACAUAACCUGAAGAUUUAUAUUGACAAUGUCUUUUGUGAUCCUACUGAAGAUGUUUCAUGUCCCGAUCAAUAAUAAUUUCAUAUGGACUAUAUGUUGUCACACUUGUGAAUCAUAACCUUAUUGGAGCAGCACAGUUGGAGGUAAAACUAUAAGUAACAUGGUGAAUUAAUGUUUUAUGUAUCUGAAAUACUCAUCAGACGAUUGUUGUAUAUAUUAUAAUGUUAUAGACAGAAACGAUAAGAGGAUCUGUAUAUUUUUGCGAUGUGAGGUUUUUGUUUUUUUUCCCUUCAGGCACUGCAAGAUGGAAAAAGUCUGAACUUCCUUAUUCACAAGGAGGUGUAAAGAUAAUUAAUUCUGGCAUUAAUUUGGGUUUUCGAGAUCCCGUACCUUAAAGGUGGUUAUUACCUUUGGAAUAACUGGCUUUAGUGUUACUCUCCCAUACCAUUACUUUGGUAACAACACACAGGGCCAUUGUGGUAAGACCUUUUUCUCUCUCUCUACUGGCCUUAAAAUUAUUAUAAAAAUUAUAAAUUAUUAGUUAAACUGUCAUAUUCACUGCUUUGCGACUAUACUAUCAGGAACAUGCAAUAACAACCAGGCUGAUGACUGCAUGCUACCUGGUGGCAAACUGGUGGAAAGUUGUGCAGUAAUGGCUGAUCAUUGGCCUGCAAAUACAUUUACCAACCUACCUGCCCAAAUCCACCUGUAUUACCCACUAUGCACCCGAACCACCACCCACCCUUGCUCCAUGCCACCCCAACUCCAUGUGUGAGCUGCUUAAGAGCAGGUAGACAUUCUCUAAUCCAUAUUUCAUAUUCCAUAUAUCUCAAUUCUGUUAACAUAUUUCAGAUAAAUAACUAUUGCUGCAUAUGUAUUUUUUGUGUUUUCUUGUACAGUGUCUUUGCAGCGUGUCAUCCAUUUGUCUCUCCAGACAAUUUCUACAAAGGUUGUGUCUUUGAUAGCUGCCAUAUUUCUAACCCAGCUGUGGAGUGCACAAGCUUGCAGACUUAUGCUGCUGCCUGUGCUCAGGCUGGAGUUGCCUGUACUGGAGGAAUCACACCCAAACUAUGUGGUGAGCAGCCCCUUUGUGUUUUAUUAUAAAUGACAGGUGUGUUGGAAUAAGGCCUUGUGUGUGUCAUUUUGCACACACUCAUUUGUAAUGUUUUCUUUCUCUCACCAACAGCUAGCGAUUGUCCAUCAAACAAAGUUUACAAGCCAUGUGGUCCAGCAGAACAGCCAAGCUGUGAAGACAAGUGAGUUCACGAAGUUAAAUGUAUUUAUUGAUGAUGUCUGAAAGUGGCAAAAAAUGUGGAUGAGAAAGAACAAUGUGCCAAACUCCAUUAAAAACUUUGUGCCUUUAUUUAAUUUUGCAAGUCCCUAUGAACCGGUUAUGAACUACACUAUUGAGGGGUGCUUUUGUCCCGAUGGAAUGAAACUCUUUAACAAAGAGUCUGGAAUAUGCGUUGAGAAGUGUGGUAAGUGUGCUGUAUACCUUCAACUGUUACAUUUAAAUUAAGUACAUUCAUCAGGUAUGAAGUCUUUCUAAAUUUAGUUUUCUAACAGGAUGUCUCGACCCUGAGGGCAUUCCUCGUGAGGUGAGCCAAGUUGUCCCGUCACAUGGAUUAAAUCUUAGUCGAGAGAAAAAGAAUUGAUGAUUGUUAUUAAUUUUUCAGUUCAAUGAGAGGUUUGAGUACAAAUGCCAGGACUGCAUCUGCGAAGAGUCCACAAAGGCUGUGACUUGCAAACCUAAGACAUGCCCACCACCACCACCUAUUGCAAACUGCACUGGUGCAGGGUUUGUACUUGUCAACCAGACUAAUCCAUCAGAUCCAUGCUGUCCUGCCUAUGUUUGCCGUAAGACAUUAUUUCUAAACAUUUCUAUAGCUUAAUGCUUGCUUGAUGUGUCUCUAAAUAACACCCUUUUUAUCAUCUCUGCAGAAUGUCAAAUAGACACUUGUCCAGUCAUCAACAUGAACUGUCCAAUUGAUAUAAGCCAGUUAUCAGCGUUCCUGAAGGGAAAGGUUUGUCCAGAACUCACAUGUGGUGAGCUGAUGAUUUUAAUUACAGUGUGCAGAAAACCAAACAAUCACUGUAACCC